GAUGAACGCUGGCGGCGUGCCUAAUACAUGCAAGUCGAGCGAACGGACGAGAAGCUUGCUUCUCUGAUGUUAGCGGCGGACGGGUGAGUAAAACGUGGAUAACCUACCUAUAAGACUGGGAUAACUUCGGGAAACCGUAGCUAAUACCGGAUAAUAUUUUGAACCGCAUGGUUCAACAGUGAAAGACGGUCUUGCUGUCACUUAUAGAUGGAUCCGCGCUGCAUUAGCUAGUUGGUAAGGUAACGGCUUACCAAGGCAACGAUGCAUAGCCGACCUGAGAGGGUGAUCGACCACACUGGAACUGAGACACGGACCAGACUCCUACGGGAGGCAGCAGUAGGGAAUCUUCCGCAAUGGGCGAAAGCCGGACGGAGCAACGCAGCGUGAGUGAUGAAGGUCUGCGGAUCGUAAAACUCUGUUAUGAGGGAAGAACAGAUGUGUAAGUAACUGUGCACAUCUUGACGGUACCUAAUCAGAAAGCCACGGCGAACUACGUG
This 497-nucleotide ribosomal RNA is filed under the name uncultured bacterium. RNAcentral's name for it is "partial 16S ribosomal RNA". It matches the Rfam family "Bacterial small subunit ribosomal RNA", at positions 28 to 507 of the family's 1533-position model. The record is from RNAcentral.